This 348-nucleotide ribosomal RNA is filed under the name uncultured bacterium. RNAcentral describes it as "partial 16S ribosomal RNA". It matches the Rfam family "Bacterial small subunit ribosomal RNA", at positions 338 to 703 of the family's 1533-position model. The record is from RNAcentral.
CCUACGGGGGGCAGCAGUGGGGGAUAUUGCACAAUGGGGGGAACCCUGAUGCAGCGACGCCGCGUGGGUGAAGAAGAGCCUCGGCGCGUAAAGCCCUGGCAGCAGGGAAGAAAAUGACGGUACCUGAAGAAGAAGCCCCGGCUAACUACGUGCCAGCAGCCGCGGUAAUACGUAGGGGGCAAGCGUUAUCCGGAUUGACUGGGUGUAAAGGGGGCGCAGACGGCGAGGCAAGCCAGGAGUGAAAGCCCGGGGCCCCACCCCGGGACUGCUCUUGGAACUGCGUGGCUGGCGUGCAGGAGGGGCAGUCGGAAUUCCUGGUGUCGCGGUUACCUGCGUCGAUAUCAGGCG